UGGAAGUAAAAAUCGUAACAAGGUUUCCGUAGGUGAACCUGCGGAAGGAUCAUUACCGAGUGCGGGCCCUCGUGGCCCAACCUCCCACCCUUGUCUCUAUACACCUGUUGCUUUGGCGGGCCCACCGGGGCCACCUGGUCGCCGGGGGACAUCUGUCCCCGGGCCCGCGCCCGCCGAAGCGCUCUGUGAACCCUGAUGAAGAUGGGCUGUCUGAGUACUAUGAAAAUUGUCAAAACUUUCAACAAUGGAUCUCUUGGUUCCGGCAUCGAUGAAGAACGCAGCGAAAUGCGAUAAGUAAUGUGAAUUGCAGAAUUCCGUGAAUCAUCGAAUCUUUGAACGCACAUUGCGCCCCCUGGCAUUCCGGGGGGCAUGCCUGUCCGAGCGUCAUUUCUGCCCUCAAGCACGGCUUGUGUGUUGGGUGCGGUCCCCCCGGGGACCUGCCCGAAAGGCAGCGGCGACGUCCGUCUGGUCCUCGAGCGUAUGGGGCUUUGUCACUCGCUCGGGAAGGACUGGCGGGGGUUGGUCACCACCAAAAUUUUACCACGGUGACCUCGGAUCAGGAGAAAAAA
This 569-nucleotide ribosomal RNA is filed under the name Talaromyces purpureogenus. RNAcentral describes it as "partial 18S ribosomal RNA". The stretch from base 234 to 387 matches the Rfam family "5.8S ribosomal RNA". The record is from RNAcentral. Lineage: Eukaryota; Fungi; Ascomycota; Eurotiomycetes; Eurotiales; Trichocomaceae.